GACUUUGUGAAAUGACUU
RNAcentral lists this small nuclear RNA (18 nucleotides) under Arabidopsis thaliana (thale cress). RNAcentral describes it as "snRNA_03691". The record is from RNAcentral. Lineage: Eukaryota; Viridiplantae; Streptophyta; Magnoliopsida; Brassicales; Brassicaceae.